This is a long non-coding RNA of Ictalurus punctatus (channel catfish), 1010 nucleotides long. Lineage: Eukaryota; Metazoa; Chordata; Actinopteri; Siluriformes; Ictaluridae. The record is from Ensembl.
CUCUCUCUCUCUCUCUCUCUCUCGCUCUCUCACACACACACACACACACACACACAGACUUGGCUCAUAAAGUAGCAAGUUUAACUGCAAGAGUGCAAGAUUAACACUGGCAUUAAUUAAUUUAUUUCACGGCUUUAUAGAAUUCCAUUCAGGGAGAUUGACUCAGUCCCGGACUCACAGGAGUAACAUAAUUGGACAUAAGAGAUUAUGCUUUUUCAGAUAUUAUCUUUAUUUUUUUUCAAAAAAGGUUUCAAAAAUCAAAGUGCAUGACAAACGGAGUUAUUGACUCCCAAAAGAAAGAACCGAUUCUGAACAGCCUGAAACAAGUCGUUAGUAAUUCAACACUUACUUCCUGUACAAACCUACAUAGGGUCUUCAUUGGCGGCUCGUGAAACAACGUGACUUUGACCCGCCCUCAGACACUACAGUUGAUGUUGCAUCCUGAAAGGGUUAGGUUCAUGUCUAGAAGAUGUUGUUUUCUGCGCUGCAAAAGCAAAACCACUUUGCAUGGAUUCCCAAAGGAUGAUGGUGUAAAGCGUCAGUGGUUAAAAUUCAUUUUAAACUGAUACCACAGCAGUUCAACGCUGACCUUCGUUUGUGUUCCCAUCAUUUCACUGAUGACUGCUUCUCAAAUCGAGUCAAUGCGGGAUUUGCGAAACGAUUAUUGAUUAAAGAUUCGCCAGUACCCACUUUAUUUGGACCAUUUUGUGCCUCUGGAUCACAACCUCAGGAGAUUGCAGAAUCUGAAGGCUGCAUGAGCAGGGCUGACUAAUAUUGCAGGCACAAGAGCGCUGGUGCAGUGGAGGUGGUGGAUUGCACACAGGAACAAAACCAACAUACUGUAAGUUCAACUGGGAUUAAAGUCAUUAUCUUUUUCAGGUCACGGUUCAUAGCCAAAGCCUCAAACAGCAUUCAACCAACCAUCCAUGAUCUCACAUAACUCCUAUUCAUUAUAUUCUCCUAAUUACAGAUCAUAACGUCUAUGGACACUGGACCUCUGUAGAGGAUAG